UAGGUUAAUGAGGCGAACCGGGGGAACUGAAACAUCUAAGUACCCCGAGGAAAAGAAAUCAACCGAGAUUCCCCCAGUAGCGGCGAGCGAACGGGGAGGAGCCCAGAGCCUGAAUCAGCAUGUGUGUUAGUGGAAGCGUCUGGAAAGGCGCGCGAUACAGGGUGACAGCCCCGUACACAAAAGCGCAUGUGCUGUGAGCUCGAUGAGUAGGGCGGGACACGUGGUAUCCUGUCUGAAUAUGGGGGGACCAUCCUCCAAGGCUAAAUACUCCUGACUGACCGAUAGUGAACCAGUACCGUGAGGGAAAGGCGAAAAGAACCCCGGCGAGGGGAGUGAAAAAGAACCUGAAACCGUGUACGUACAAGCAGUGGGAGCCCCACCACCAAAGCAUUCUCUGGUGUUGAAGGCCCUGCAAAGCAGCAUCGCGGUGGCGGAGCGUCGUUUGCGACGCCCAACACACAAAACAAGCGGUGAGUGCUUUGGGGUGGGGUGACUGCGUACCUUUUGUAUAAUGGGUCAGCGACUUAUAUUCUGUAGCAAGGUUAACCGAAUAGGGGAGCCGGAGGGAAACCGAGUCUUAAUUGGGCGUUAAGUUGCAGGGUAUAGACCCGAAACCCGGUGAUCUAGCCAUGGGCAGGUUGAAGGUUGGGUAACACUAACUGGAGGACCGAACCGACUAAUGUUGAAAAAUUAGCGGAUGACCUGUGGCUGGGGGUGAAAGGCCAAUCAAACCGGGAGAUAGCUGGUUCUCCCCGAAAGCUAUUUAGGUAGCGCCUCGUGAAUUCAUCUCCGGGGGUAGAGCACUGUUUCGGCUAGGGGGCCAUCCCGGCUUACCAACCCGAUGCAAACUGCGAAUACCGGAGAAUGUUAUCACGGGAGACACACGGCGGGUGCUAACGUCCGUCGUGAAGAGGGAAACAACCCAGACCGCCAGCUAAGGUCCCAAAGUCAUGGUUAAGUGGGAAACGAUGUGGGAAGGCCCAGACAGCCAGGAUGUUGGCUUAGAAGCAGCCAUCAUUUAAAGAAAGCGUAAUAGCUCACUGGUCGAGUCGGCCUGCGCGGAAGAUGUAACGGGGCUAAACCAUG
This 1086-nucleotide ribosomal RNA is filed under the name Salmonella enterica subsp. enterica serovar Colindale. RNAcentral's name for it is "partial 23S ribosomal RNA". It matches the Rfam family "Bacterial large subunit ribosomal RNA", at positions 167 to 1191 of the family's 2925-position model. The record is from RNAcentral. Lineage: Bacteria; Pseudomonadati; Pseudomonadota; Gammaproteobacteria; Enterobacterales; Enterobacteriaceae.